ACGCUAGCUACAGGCUUAACACAUGCAAGUCGAGGGGCAGCAUGGUCUUAGCUUGCUAAGGCCGAUGGCGACCGGCGCACGGGUGAGUAACACGUAUCCAACCUGCCGUCUACUCUUGGACAGCCUUCUGAAAGGAAGAUUAAUACAAGAUGGCAUCAUGAGUCCGCAUGUUCACAUGAUUAAAGGUAUUCCGGUAGACGAUGGGGAUGCGUUCCAUUAGAUAGUAGGCGGGGUAACGGCCCACCUAGUCUUCGAUGGAUAGGGGUUCUGAGAGGAAGGUCCCCCACAUUGGAACUGAGACACGGUCCAAACUCCUACGGGAGGCAGCAGUGAGGAAUAUUGGUCAAUGGGCGAGAGCCUGAACCAGCCAAGUAGCGUGAAGGAUGACUGCCCUAUGGGUUGUAAACUUCUUUUAUAAAGGAAUAAAGUCGGGUAUGGAUACCCGUUUGCAUGUACUUUAUGAAUAAGGAUCGGCUAACUCCGUGCCAGCAGCCGCGGUAAUACGGAGGAUCCGAGCGUUAUCCGGAUUUAUUGGGUUUAAAGGGAGCGUAGAUGGAUGUUUAAGUCAGUUGUGAAAGUUUGCGGCUCAACCGUAAAAUUGCAGUUGAUACUGGAUAUCUUGAGUGCAGUUGAGGCAGGCGGAAUUCGUGGUGUAGCGGUGAAAUGCUUAGAUAUCACGAAGAACUCCGAUUGCGAAGGCAGCCUGCUAAGCUGCAACUGACAUUGAGGCUCGAAAGUGUGGGUAUCAAACAGGAUUAGAUACCCUGGUAGUCCACACGGUAAACGAUGAAUACUCGCUGUUUGCGAUAUACUGCAAGCGGCCAAGCGAAAGCGUUAAGUAUUCCACCUGGGGAGUACGCCGGCAACGGUGAAACUCAAAGGAAUUGACGGGGGCCCGCACAAGCGGAGGAACAUGUGGUUUAAUUCGAUGAUACGCGAGGAACCUUACCCGGGCUUAAAUUGCAGAUGAAUUACGGUGAAAGCCGUAAGCCGCAAGGCAUCUGUGAAGGUGCUGCAUGGUUGUCGUCAGCUCGUGCCGUGAGGUGUCGGCUUAAGUGCCAUAACGAGCGCAACCCUUGUUGUCAGUUACUAACAGGUUCCGCUGAGGACUCUGACAAGACUGCCAUCGUAAGAUGUGAGGAAGGUGGGGAUGACGUCAAAUCAGCACGGCCCUUACGUCCGGGGCUACACACGUGUUACAAUGGGGGGUACAGAGGGCCGCUACCACGCGAGUGGAUGCCAAUCCCCAAAACCUCUCUCAGUUCGGACUGGAGUCUGCAACCCGACUCCACGAAGCUGGAUUCGCUAGUAAUCGCGCAUCAGCCACGGCGCGGUGAAUACGUUCCCGGGCCUUGUACACACCGCCCGUCAAGCCAUGGGAGCCGGGGGUACCUGAAGUGCGUAACCGCGAGGAGCGCCCUAGGGUAAAACUGGUGACUGGGGC
This 1444-nucleotide ribosomal RNA is filed under the name uncultured organism. Its description in RNAcentral is "16S ribosomal RNA". It matches the Rfam family "Bacterial small subunit ribosomal RNA". The record is from RNAcentral.